Molecule: long non-coding RNA, 1303 nt
Filed under: Cyanistes caeruleus (blue tit)
Lineage: Eukaryota; Metazoa; Chordata; Aves; Passeriformes; Paridae
Description: lncRNA (ENSCCEG00000006472.1)
Source: RNAcentral
UGUAAUAAGAGCAUUUAUCCCCUUGUGUUCAACACCCUUCUGCCUGACACCAGAGUGAUCUGAGUCAUAUAACCUCCCCUUGCGGUGGGGAACUGAGGUUUUGAUGGUAGAACAGGCACAGUGAAAAUCAGAAGCUUGCAGGAAAUAUCUAUUGUAAAGAUCAGAAAAAUUGGUAUUCCCAGCAUUCCCUGAUUCCUGCUAAAUAUUGUUGGGUGCAGUCACACAAGGUACUGAGUGUGGCCCAUCCUCCCAAAACUCAUCUGUCCCACCAAGUAUCUCCUUUUCUCCUUCCAUCCCCUCUCGGUUUCAAAACACCCAACACUCCAUGAGCAGAGAGGCAAAAAGUGCCAGUGCUUAACAGCUAUGGAAACCGCUCUGGUUUUGCACAAAUAACACUUUUCUUAUUGAAGCCUGUGCACAAAGCUUCUGAGAAGGAUGUAGGUGCCACUGGGCAUUACAGGUUAAAAGUACUACAACAGCCAGCAAUAAAUACAUGGCAGGUGUUUGUUAACAAGGCACUAAUUGGGUAACUGGAGGUGCAGCAUAAAAGACCACAGAGGCCAAUUGAGAAGCUUUAGGUGAAUCUCAGAUGUUCCUCUGGGCUUGGGGAAUAGGAGGAGGUAGAGUUGCUGUGGGUUUGUGUUUUAUGGAAAAGCUGGUGCUAAGGUGUCUCAAAAGAGACAGCCUGUUCUAUCUUGUGCAUGAAACUGUGUGACAAAAUCAGUUCAGAAUUUAAUUUAAGGAUUAUGACUCUCUUUUCCUCGGUUGGAGUGCUUUUACUUUGGCUUUGGUAACUUGAUCUUAAAUUGUUCUGAUUAGAUUUCACUGUACCUCCUAAGGGGGUUAUUCAAACUGAGUCAGCCUGUGCCUGUUUGGCUAAACCAUUAUCUAAACUCAUUGCCUUGCAUAAAGAAGGCUUUAGGGAUCCCAAAAUAUGUUUGCUUUCCUAAUCCCUUGGAGGAUGCAGCAGGGUUCUUCAAGCACAAGUGUGGAGACCUACAGUUUUGAUGUACCCUCCAUCAUCGUGCUCCUGACAGUGGAUUUGCAGCGAGGCUCAAACUCCAGCAUGGAACUUAUGCACAUUCACUGUGAGCACAGAAGUUUGGGGAGUCUUUAAUAAUUCCCUGGAAGGCUCCUGCUGAAACAGAGUUACUCCAGACCUCAAAGCCUUCCUUUUUGGAAAGAAGAAAUGCUAAGAUUGUGUAUGUCUUUCUCUUUAGUCUAUACCAGAUACAAAUAACCACUCAUGCUUAUUUCGUGUUUUGAGACAAUGAUUAAUAAAAGGGUUGGGCAGGGGGUAGCA